This 246-nucleotide non-coding RNA is filed under the name Streptomyces sp. NRRL S-1521. Its description in RNAcentral is "Bacterial large subunit ribosomal RNA". It matches the Rfam family "Bacterial large subunit ribosomal RNA", at positions 1223 to 1468 of the family's 2925-position model. Lineage: Bacteria; Bacillati; Actinomycetota; Actinomycetes; Kitasatosporales; Streptomycetaceae. The record is from Rfam by way of RNAcentral.
GAUGGGUAGGGGAGCGUCGUGUGCCGGGUGAAGCUGCGCCGGAAGGCAGUGGUGGACGGUUCACGAGUGAGAAUGCAGGCAUGAGUAGCGAUACAUACGUGAGAAACGUGUGCGCCGAUUGACUAAGGGUUCCUGGGUCAAGCUGAUCUGCCCAGGGUAAGUCGGGACCUAAGGCGAGGCCGACAGGCGUAGUCGAUGGAUAACCGGUUGAUAUUCCGGUACCCGCUGUGAAGCGUCAAACAUCGA